This is a small nuclear RNA of Homo sapiens (human), 104 nucleotides long. Lineage: Eukaryota; Metazoa; Chordata; Mammalia; Primates; Hominidae. The record is from Ensembl.
GUUCUUGUUUUGGCAGCACAUGUACGAAAAUUGGAAUGACACAGAGAUUAGCAUGGCCCUGGUGCAAGGAUGACAUGGAAAUUCAUGAAGCAUUCUCUGUUGUU